RNAcentral lists this ribosomal RNA (497 nucleotides) under uncultured bacterium. RNAcentral describes it as "partial 16S ribosomal RNA". It matches the Rfam family "Bacterial small subunit ribosomal RNA", at positions 28 to 507 of the family's 1533-position model. The record is from RNAcentral.
GAUGAACGCUGGCGGCGUGCCUAAUACAUGCAAGUCGAGCGAACGGACGAGAAGCUUGCUUCUCUGAUGUUAGCGGCGGACGGGUGAGUAACACGUGGAUAACCUACCUAUAAGACUGGGAUAACUUCGGGAAACCGGAGCUAAUACCGGAUAAUAUUUUGAACCGCAUGGUUCAAAAGUGAAAGACGGUCUUGCUGUCACUUAUAGAUGGAUCCGCGCUGCAUUAGCUAGUUGGUAAGGUAACGGCUUACCAAGGCAACGAAGCAUAGCCGACCUGAGAGGGUGAUCGGCCACACUGGAACUGAGACACGGUCCAGACUCCUACGGGAGGCAGCAGUAGGGAAUCUUCCGCAAUGGGCGAAAGCCUGACGGAGCAACGCCGCGUGAGUGAUGAAGGUCCUCGGAUCGUAAAACUCUGUUAUUAGGGAAGAACAUAUGUGUAAGUAACUGUGCACAUCUUGACGGUACCUAAUCAGAAAGCCACGGCUAACUACGUG